This 65-nucleotide transfer RNA is filed under the name Gastroptychus investigatoris. RNAcentral describes it as "tRNA-Ser". The record is from RNAcentral. Lineage: Eukaryota; Metazoa; Arthropoda; Malacostraca; Decapoda; Chirostylidae.
GAGGUGUGGGAUAAGAGAAAAACUUCUAAUUUUUUUCUAAGCGGUUAAACUCCGUUAAUACCUUG